RNAcentral lists this long non-coding RNA (687 nucleotides) under Numida meleagris (helmeted guineafowl). Its description in RNAcentral is "lncRNA (ENSNMEG00000003040.1)". Lineage: Eukaryota; Metazoa; Chordata; Aves; Galliformes; Numididae. The record is from RNAcentral.
GUGACACCGUAGGAAGGGACAACACUGGAGGUGACACCGGGAGUGGGGACACGGGGGGCGGAGGGGACAGCAGGGACAGUGCCACCGACUGUUGGGGACACCGGGAGUGGAGGUGACACUGGGAGUGGGGACACUGGGAGUGGAGGUGACACCGGGAGUGGGGACACUGGGGACAGAGGGGACACAAGGGACAGUGCCACCGACUGUUGGGGACACCCAGAGUGGAGGUGACACCGGGAGUGGGGACACCGGGGACAGAGGGGACACAAGGGACAGUGUCACCAAUUGUGGGGACACCGGGAGUGCAGGGGACACUGGGAGUGGGGACACCAAGAGCGGAGGGGACAGCGGGGACAGUGCCACCGACUGCUGGGGACACCCAGAGUGGAGGUGUCACCACCUGACCCCCAAGUGCCAUUGUCCCCAAAUCUCACUGACCCCCAAGUGCCACUGUCCCCAAAUGUCACUGACCCCCAAGUGCCACUGACCCCCAAGUGCCACCGACCCCCAAGUGCCACCGACCCCCAAGUGCCCCUGACCCCCAAGUGCCAUUUGUCCCCAAAUGUCAGUGACCCCCAAGUGCCACUGACCCCCAAGUGCCAUUGUCCCCAAAUGCCACUGACCCCCAAAUGCCACUGGCCCCAAAUGUCACUGACCCCCAAGUGCCACUGACCCCAAAUGUCACUG